AUAGAGUCAAGUGAUUUAAGUGCAUCAGGUGGAUGCCUUGGCGAUGAUAGGCGAAGAAGGACGUGAUAGUCUGCGAAAAGCUUCGGGGAGUUGGCAAUAAGCAUUGAUCCGGAGAUAUCCGAAUGGGGAAACCCGCCUAGUAUUAACUAGGCAUUUUUAACUGAAUACAUAGGUUAAAGAAGCGAACCUAGGGAACUGAACCAUCUAAGUACCUAGAGGAAAAGAAAUCAACCGAGAUUCCGUAAGUAGUGGCGAGCGAAAGCGGAGGAGCCUGUAUAUGAUAAUUAGUGAUUUAGGAGAACAACUUGGGAAAGUUGGCCAUAGAGGGUGAAAGCCCCGUAUUUGAAAGAUUGCUAAUGGUACUAAGUAUACGAGAAGUAGGGCGGGACACGAGGAAUCCUGCUUGAAGAUGGGGGGACCAUCCUCCAAGGCUAAAUACUCAUCAUCGACCGAUAGUGAACUAGUACCGUGAGGGAAAGGUGAAAAGAACCCCGGGAGGGGAGUGAAAAGAACCUGAAACCUGAUGCAUACAAACAGUGGGAGCUACAUUUAAUGUAGUGACUGCGUACCUUUUGUAUAAUGGGUCAACGACUUACAUUCAGUAGCGAGCUUAACCGGAUAGGGGAGGCGUAGGGAAACCGAGUCUUAAUAGGGCGAUAGUUGCUGGGUGUAGACCCGAAACCGAGUGAUCUAUCCAUGUCCAGGAUGAAGGUUAGGUAACACUGACUGGAGGUCCGAACCUACUAAUGUUGCAAAAUUAGAGGAUGAGGUGUGGAUAGGGGUGAAAGGCCAAACAAACUCGGAGAUAGCUGGUUCUCCCCGAAAACUAUUUAGGUAGUGCCUUAAGAGCAUACUCACGGGGGUAAAGCACUGUUAUGGCUAGGGGGUCAUUGCGACUUACCAACCCAUGGCAAACUCAGAAUACCGUGAAGUAAAUUCUUAGGAGACAGACAUCGGGUGCUAACGUCCGGUGUCGAGAGGGAAACAACCCAGACCGCCAGCUAAGGUCCCGAAUGAUCAGUUAAGUGGAAAACGAAGUGAGAAGGCAUAGACAGCUAGGAUGUUGGCUUAGAAGCAGCCAUCAUUUAAAGAAAGCGUAAUAGCUCACUAGUCGAGUCGUCUUGCGCGGAAGAUGUAACGGGGCUCAAACUGAUAACCGAAGCUGCGGAUAUAUACGUAAGUAUGUAUGGUAGGGGAGCGUUCUGUAGGCCGAAGAAGGUGCAUUGAGAAAUGUGCUGGAGGUAUCAGAAGUGCGAAUGUUGACAUGAGUAGCGAUAAAACGAGUGAAAAGCUCGUUCGCCGAAAGCCCAAGGUUUCCUACGCAACGUUAAUCGGCGUAGGGUGAGUCGGCCCCUAAGGUGAGGCAGAAAUGCGUAAUCGAUGGGAAACGGGUUAAUAUUCCCGUACUUAUUUAUAGUGCGAUGUGGGGACGGAGAAGGUUAGGUUAUCAACCUGUUGGAAUAGGUUGUUUAAGCAUGUAGGUAGGACACUUAGGCAAAUCCGGGUGUUCAAUACUGAGGUGUGAUGACGAGGACUUACGGGUCCGAAGUAACUGAUACCCUGCUUCCAGGAAAAGCCACUAAGCAUAGCUAUAAAUGAACCGUACCGCAAACCGACACAGGUGGGCAGGAAGAAAAUUCUAAGGCGCUUGAGAGAACUCAGGAGAAGGAACUCGGCAAAAUGACACCGUAACUUCGGGAGAAGGUGUGCCCUUGGUAUGUGAAGAGCCUGCGCUCGGAGCAGAAGGGGGCCGCAGAGAAUCGGUGGCUGCGACUGUUUACUAAAAACACAGCACUCUGCAAACACGAAAGUGGACGUAUAGGGUGUGACGCCUGCCCGGUGCUGGAAGAUUAAAUGAUGGGGUGAGAGCUCUUGAUUGAAGUCCCAGUAAACGGCGGCCGUAACUAUAACGGUCCUAAGGUAGCGAAAUUCCUUGUCGGGUAAGUUCCGACCUGCACGAAUGGCGUAACGAUGGCCACACUGUCUCCUCCUGAGACUCAGCGAAGUUGAAGUGGUUGUGAAGAUGCAAUCUACCCGCUGCUAGACGGAAAGACCCCGUGAACCUUUACUGUAGCUUUGCAUUGGACUUUGAAGUUGUAUGUGUAGGAUAGGUGGGAGGCUAAGAAAUAAUGACGCUAGUUGUUAUGGAGCCAUUGGUGAAAUACCACCCUUAUAACUUUGAGGUUCUAACUUAGGUCUCUGAAUCGAGAUUAAGGACCGUGCAUGGUAGGCAGUUUGACUGGGGCGGUCUCCUCCUAAAGCGUAACGGAGGAGUUCGAAGGUUACCUAGGUCCGGUCGGAAAUCGGACUGAUAGUAUAAUGGCAUAAGGUAGCUUAACUGCGAGACUGACAAGUCGAGCAGGUGCGAAAGCAGGACAUAGUGAUCCGGUGGUUCUGAAUGGAAGGGCCAUCGCUCAACGGAUAAAAGGUACUCCGGGGAUAACAGGCUGAUUCCGCCCAAGAGUUCAUAUCGACGGCGGAGUUUGGCACCUCGAUGUCGGCUCAUCACAUCCUGGGGCUGUAGUUGGUCCCAAGGGUAUGGCUGUUCGCCAUUUAAAGUGGUACGUGAGCUGGGUUUAGAACGUCGUGAGACAGUUUGGUCCCUAUCUGCAGUGGGCGUUGGAAGUUUGACGGGGGUUGCUCCUAGUACGAGAGGACCGGAGUGAACAAACCUCUGGUGUACCGGUUGUCACGCCAGUGGCAUAGCCGGGUAGCUAAGUUUGGAAGAGAUAAACGCUGAAAGCAUCUAAGCGUGAAGCUCGCCUGAAGAUGAGACUUCCCUGGAGAUAUAAUCUCCCUAAAGAGACGUUAGAGACUAUGACGUUGAUAGGUCGGGUGUGUAAGUGCGGUAACGCAUGAAGCUAACCGAUACUAAUUGCUCGUGAGGCUUGAUUCUAU
Molecule: ribosomal RNA, 2898 nt
Filed under: Neisseriaceae bacterium
Lineage: Bacteria; Pseudomonadati; Pseudomonadota; Betaproteobacteria; Neisseriales; Neisseriaceae
Description: 23S ribosomal RNA
Rfam family: Bacterial large subunit ribosomal RNA
Source: RNAcentral